UGGGGAAUCUUGCACAAUGGGGGAAACCCUGAUGCAGCGACGCCGCGUGAGCGAUGAAGCCCUUCGGGGGUGUAAAGCUCUUUCGGCAGGAACGAUAAUGACGGUACCUGCAGAAGAAGCUGCGGCUAACUACGUGCCAGCAGCCGCGGUAAUACGUAGGCAGCAAGCGUUGUUCGGAAUUACUGGGCGUAAAGAGUGUGUAGGUGGUGUCGUAAGUUUGGUGUGAAAUCUCCCGGCUUAACUGGGAGGGUGCGCCGAAGACUGCGAUGCUGGAGUAUGGGAGAGGAAAGCGGAAUUCCUGGUGUAGCGGUGAAAUGCGUAGAUAUCAGGAGGAACACCUGCGGUGUAGACGGCUUUCUGGACCAUUACUGACACUGAGACACGAAAGCGUGGGUAGCAAA
Molecule: ribosomal RNA, 401 nt
Filed under: uncultured bacterium
Lineage: Bacteria
Description: bacterial SSU rRNA
Rfam family: Bacterial small subunit ribosomal RNA
Source: RNAcentral